RNAcentral lists this ribosomal RNA (510 nucleotides) under uncultured soil bacterium. RNAcentral's name for it is "bacterial SSU rRNA". It matches the Rfam family "Bacterial small subunit ribosomal RNA", at positions 26 to 513 of the family's 1533-position model. The record is from RNAcentral.
AGAACGAACGCUGGCGGCGUGGAUUAGGCAUGCAAGUCGAACGCGAAAGAGGGGGGGUAACUCCCCUCUAGUAGAGUGGCGAACGGGUGAGUAACGCGUGAAGAACCUGCCUUCAACAGGGGGAUAACACUCCCAACGGGGUGCUAAUACCGCAUGAGACCACGGGAUCGCAUGGUCCUGAGGUCAAAGGUGGCCUCUAUUUAUAAGCUACCGGUUGAAGAUGGCUUCGCGUCCCAUUAGCUAGUUGGCGGUGUAAAAGACCACCAAGGCGACGAUGGGUAGCUGGUCUGAGAGGAUGGUCAGCCACACUGGGACUGAGAUACGGCCAGACUCCUACGGGAGGCAGCAGUCGAGAGGCUUUGGCAAUGGGGAAACCCUGACCAAGCGACGCCGCGUGGAGGAUGAAGGCCCUUGGUUGUAACUCUUUUGCUAGGAAGAAAUGCGAUCAGGUGAACAAUCUGGUCGUUGACGUACCUGGCGAAUAAGCUCCGGCUAACGUCCGCGCCAGCA